This 497-nucleotide ribosomal RNA is filed under the name uncultured bacterium. Its description in RNAcentral is "partial 16S ribosomal RNA". It matches the Rfam family "Bacterial small subunit ribosomal RNA", at positions 28 to 507 of the family's 1533-position model. The record is from RNAcentral.
GAUGAACGCUGGCGGCGUGCCUAAUACAUGCAAGUAGAACGCUGAAGGAAGGAGCUUGCUCUUUCCGGAUGAGUUGCGAACGGGUGAGUAACGCGUAGGUAACCUGCCUGGUAGCGGGGGAUAACUAUUGGAAACGAUAGCUAAUACCGCAUAACAGUAGAUGUUGCAUGAUAUCUACUUAAAAGGUGCAAUUGCACCACUACCAGAUGGACCUGCGUUGUAUUAGCUAGUUGGUGAGGUAACGGCACACCAAGGCGACGAUACAUAGCCGACCUGAGAGGGUGAUCGGCCACACUAGGACUGAGACACGGCCCAGAAUCCUACGGGAGGCAGCAGGAGGGAAUCUUCGGCAAUGGACGGAAGUCUGACCGAGCAACGCCGCGGGAGUGAAGAAGGGUUUCGGAUCGUAAAGCUCGGUUGUAAGAGAAGAACGAGUGUGAGAGUGGAAAGUUCACACUGUGACGGUAUCUUACCAGAAAGGGACGGCUAACUACGUG